Molecule: ribosomal RNA, 492 nt
Filed under: uncultured bacterium
Lineage: Bacteria
Description: partial 16S ribosomal RNA
Rfam family: Bacterial small subunit ribosomal RNA
Source: RNAcentral
AGUGAACGCUGGCGGUAGGCCUAACACAUGCAAGUCGAACGGCAGCACAGUAAGAGCUUGCUCUUACGGGUGGCGAGUGGCGGACGGGUGAGGAAUACAUCGGAAUCUACUUUUUCGUGGGGGAUAACGUAGGGAAACUUACGCUAAUACCGCAUACGACCUACGGGUGAAAGCAGGGGAUCUUCGGACCUUGCGCGAUUGAGUGAGCCGAUGUCGGAUUAGCUAGUUGGCGGGGUAAAGGCCCACCAAGGCGACGAUCCGUAGCUGGUCUGAGAGGAUGAUCAGCCACACUGGAACUGAGACACGGUCCAGACUCCUACGGGAGGCAGCAGUGGGGAAUAUUGGACAAUGGGCGCAAGCCUGAUCCAGCCAUACCGCGUGGGUGAAGAAGGCCUUCGGGUUGUAAAGCCCUUUUGUUGGGAAAGAAAAGCAGCAGGUUAAUACCCCGCCGUUCUGACGGUACCCAAAGAAUAAGCACCGGCUAACUUCGUG